RNAcentral lists this ribosomal RNA (549 nucleotides) under uncultured Glomeromycotina. RNAcentral describes it as "SSU rRNA". It matches the Rfam family "Eukaryotic small subunit ribosomal RNA", at positions 548 to 1098 of the family's 1831-position model. Lineage: Eukaryota; Fungi; Glomeromycota. The record is from RNAcentral.
UUGGAGGGCAAGUCUGGUGCCAGCAGCCGCGGUAAUUCCAGCUCCAAUAGCGUAUAUUAAAGUUGUUGCAGUUAAAAAGCUCGUAGUUGAAUUUCGGGGUUAGUAGGUUGGUCAUGCCUCUGGUAUGUACUGGUCUCACUGAUUCCUCCUUCCUGAUGAACCUUAAUGCCAUUAAUUUGGUGUUUUGGGGAAUUUGGACUGUUACUUUGAAAAAAUUAGAGUGUUUAAAGCAAGCUAACGCUUGAAUACAUUAGCAUGGAAUAAUGAAAUAGGACGUUCGAUCCUAUUUUGUUGGUUUCUAGGAUUGACGUAAUGAUUAAUAGGGAUAGUUGGGAGCAUUAGUAUUCAAUUGUCAGAGGUGAAAUUCUUGGAUUUAUUGAAGACUAACUACUGCGAAAGCAUUUGCCAAGGAUGUUUUCAUUAAUCAAGAACGAAAGUUAGGGGAUCGAAGACGAUCAGAUACCGUCGUAGUCUUAACCAUAAACUAUGCCGACUAGGGAUCGGAUGAUGUUAAUUUUUUAAUGACUCAUUCGGCGCCUUACGAGAAAC